GGGUUUGGCCUUGGGAAUCACUUGUCUGGGACCCGUGUCACUUCCCUUUUACAUCUCUACAUCUCUGUCCUUGUCUGGCUCUGGCCAGAAAACUUCUGUGGGCUUUAGAUACUAAAGGAUUGUAGCAGUCCCAGAAAUCCUUUCCUGAAGCUCAGGGAAACCCAGUGACCUGUGAUCAAAAGCCCCUUUGCUAAUAAUCAGCUGGUGAAAAGUCAUGGUCUCUCUCAAGCUCCACUCAGUAGAUAAUGUCUGCUUGGAAGUCCUAAGGGCACCUUAAAAUGACCACAUAGAAACUUCUGCCCCUCUUCUUGUUCCACUCCACCCUCUCCUUCUUUCUGCUGGACAUCUGAGAACUCAAAGCCAUUCCUCAUCCCUCAAUCCUCUCAACAUCUUAAAUCCAGACACUUCUAAAGUGCUGGGCUCUCUGCUGGAGCUAGAGUCGCAGAGGAAACACAGGCCACAGAACAUCGGUCAGCGUAAAGAACAGAUACAGAAGGAAUCUUGAUGGAGAACUUAAGUGGGUCCAGCAGGAAGAACAGAGAAUAGCAGCCCCGUGGAGCUCCCAUAUGGGAGCAGACCAGCCCCUGAGAUGGCACACAUCUCAGCAUGACUAAUCCUCAGCACAACCCCGUGUGAAUGGCUCUGGAAAUGGAAUGGACUGGAAGUCAGGAUUGGAGAGACGUACAGGUGCAUCAAGAAGCCUAAGGAUGUUCAGUGCAAUGCUGCAUGUUGUGAAAACCUGAAGACCGCCACGUGGCAGCUGGCCUCCAAGUUGGCCCUUAUUGACCCCACCUCCUGCUCUCGCCUCAGCUGCAAUCCUCUCCCACUGAAUCAGUGUUAUUAUGUAUGACCAAUAGUCAACAGCACAUGGCAGUGUGAUGGCAUGCCAGCCAUUCCUGAACUUAGGCUAUACAAAGGCAGCAGCUUCUAUUCUGGGUUCUCUCCCUCUUUUUCAUCACUAAGGAAGCUGCCUUGUUGUGAACAGCCUUAUAGAAAGCCCCAUGUAGAGAAGAGCUGAGUCUUCCUGCCAUUUAAGUGAUGGCUUACACCUUAUAUGCCAAUCUUUUGCCCCUGGCCAAGUCUUCAGGUGACUGAAGCCCUGGCCCACAGCUCAACUGCAACCUCAUGAGAGACUCUGAUCCAGAACCAGCAGGAUAAGUUGUUCCCAGAUUCCUGGCCUCAAACUGAGGAGAUGAUAAACAUAUGUUAUUUUAAAGUGCUAAAUUGGGGGACUUCCCUGGUGGUCCAGUGGUUAAGAAUUCGCCUUGCAAUGCAGGGGACAUGGGUUCAAUCCCUGAUUAAGGAACAAAGAUCCCACGUGCCAUGGGACAACUAAGCCUGUGAGCCAAAACUACUGAGCCUGGGUGCCUCAACCAGAGAGCAUGCAUGGUGCAAACUACAGACCCCAUGCUCUCUGGAGUCUGUGCACCAGCACUGGAGAGAACCUCUGUGUCGCAACUAAGACCUGACACAGCAAAAGAAAUGUGCUAAACUGGGGAGUAAUUUGUUACACAGCAAUAGAUAACUAAUACACUCCAGACUACAGAGUUUUAUGCAGCAGUUAAAAAAUGGAGUAGAUCUCUGUGUGCUGAUAUGGAAAGAUUUCUGAUAUGUUGUUUUGAGAAAAUAAUAACCUCAGAAAAAUACACAGAGCUAUAUCCCUUUUACAUAAAACACCAUCAACACUGCUAUAUUUUUCUGCAUUUACACAUGCACGUGUGCUGUGCUAAUCGUUCAGUAGUGUUCAGCCCUGGAACCCCAUGGACUGUAGCCCGCCAGGCUCCUCUGUCCAUGGGAUUUCCCAGGCAAGAAUACUGGAGGGGUAGCCAUUCUCUUCUCCAGGGGAUCUUCUCAACCCGGGGAUCGAACCCAGGUCUCCUGCAUUGCAGGCAGAUUCUUUACUGUUUGAGCCAACAGGGAAGCCCACAUAUGCCUGCACAUAUGUAAUACAUAAGAC
Bos taurus (domestic cattle) is the source of this 1957-nucleotide long non-coding RNA. NCBI's taxonomy places the organism in Eukaryota, Metazoa, Chordata, Mammalia, Artiodactyla, Bovidae. The record is from Ensembl.